This 478-nucleotide ribosomal RNA is filed under the name uncultured bacterium. RNAcentral describes it as "partial 16S ribosomal RNA". It matches the Rfam family "Bacterial small subunit ribosomal RNA", at positions 28 to 507 of the family's 1533-position model. The record is from RNAcentral.
GAUGAACGCUGGCGGCGUGCUUAACACAUGCAAGUCGAACGAGAAAUGUAGACGGAAACCUUCGGGCGGAAGCCUUCAUUUCGAGUGGCGGAUGGGUGAGUAACGCGUGGGUAACCUGCCUCAUACAGGGGGAUAACAGUUGGAAACGACUGUUAAUACCGCAUAAGACCACAGCAUCGCAUGAUGCGGGGGUAAAAACUCCGGUGGUAUGAGAUGGACCCGCGUUCGAUUAGCCAGUUGGCGGGGUAACGGCCCACCAAAGCGACGAUCGAUAGCCGAUCUGAGAGGAUGACCGGCCACAUUGGGACUGAGACACGGCCCAAACUCCUACGGGAGGCAGCAGUGGGGAAUAUUGCACAAUGGGGGAAACCCUGAUGCAGCGACGCCGCGUGAGUGAAGAAGUACUUCGGUAUGUAAAGCUCUAUCAGCAGGGAAGAAAAUGACGGUACCUGAGUAAGAAGCCCCGGCUAACUACGUG